UGGGGAAUCUUGCGCAAUGGGCGAAAGCCUGACGCAGCGACGCCGCGUGCGGGAAGAAGGCCUUCGGGUUGUAAACCGCUUUCAGGAGGGACGAAGCCACUCGGGUGAACAGCCCAGAGGGUGACGGUACCUCCAGAAGAAGCCCCGGCUAACUACGUGCCAGCAGCCGCGGUAAUACGUAGGGGGCAAGCGUUGUCCGGAUUCAUUGGGCGUAAAGAGCGUGUAGGCGGCCAGGUAGGUCGGUUGUGAAAACUGGAGGCUCAACCUUCAGAGGUCGACCGAAACCAUCUGGCUAGAGGCCGGGAGAGGAGAGUGGAAUUCCUGGUGUAGCGGUGAAAUGCGCAGAUAGCAGGAAGAACACCCGUGGCGAAAGCGGCUCUCUGGAACGGUACUGACGCUGAGACGCGAAAGCGUGGGGAGCGAACAGG
This 428-nucleotide ribosomal RNA is filed under the name Acidobacteriota bacterium. Its description in RNAcentral is "Acidobacteria bacterium partial 16S ribosomal RNA". It matches the Rfam family "Bacterial small subunit ribosomal RNA", at positions 355 to 776 of the family's 1533-position model. Lineage: Bacteria; Pseudomonadati; Acidobacteriota. The record is from RNAcentral.